CAGUCUCAGCCUCUUCUCCUCUCUGUUAAGAUCACAUUUGUCUCUUUUUCUAAUUAUCUGAACAAAGACAUUACCAGAGUCUGCUCCAGCUGUCUCAUCGCUACAGAACAACAGGAUGCAUUUUAUAUUGCUCGCCUUUUCAACUUUUAUACCAUGUGUGAGACCGCAAACUAUUCUCCAGUCCCCUCCUUCUAUAGUCCAGUUUGCUGGGACCGAAGCCAGACUGGCUUGCACUGUUAAGGGUGCUAGUGACCCGUACAUGUACUGGUACAGACAGGACUCCAGGGGAGGGAUAGAGAUGCUGUUCCUCUCCAGAGCAGCUGGAAUGGUGGAUGAGUCUCCAAUCAAAGAUUUCACAGCUCAGAGAACAGCCAGCGAGAGCUUCAGUCUGCAAACAGAGAGGCUGUCUCUGAACCACACGGCUGUGUAUUACUGUGCAUGGAGUAGUCACAGUGAUUGAGACAGAUAGGGACCCCCAACAAAAACCUCAGAUCAGCUCAGCUGGG
This is a non-coding RNA of Polyodon spathula (Mississippi paddlefish), 506 nucleotides long. Lineage: Eukaryota; Metazoa; Chordata; Actinopteri; Acipenseriformes; Polyodontidae. The record is from the annotation of a RefSeq genome assembly.